RNAcentral lists this ribosomal RNA (301 nucleotides) under uncultured bacterium. RNAcentral's name for it is "partial 16S ribosomal RNA". It matches the Rfam family "Bacterial small subunit ribosomal RNA", at positions 509 to 807 of the family's 1533-position model. The record is from RNAcentral.
CAGCAGCCACGGGAAUACGUAGGGUGCAAGCGUUAAUCGGAAUUACUGGGCGUAAAGCGUGCGCAGGCGGUUCGGAAAGAAAGAUGUGAAAUCCCAGAGCUUAACUUUGGAACUGCAUUUUUAACUACCGGGCUAGAGUGUGUCAGAGGGGGGUGGAAUUCCACGUGUAGCAGUGAAAUGCGUAGAUAUGUGGAGGAACACCGAUGGCGAAGGCAGCCCCCUGGGAUAACACUGACGCUCAUGCACGAAAGCGUGGGGAGCAAACAGGAUUAGAUACCCGCGUAGUCCCUGUCUCUUAUAC